Molecule: long non-coding RNA, 147 nt
Organism: Mustela erminea (ermine)
Lineage: Eukaryota; Metazoa; Chordata; Mammalia; Carnivora; Mustelidae
Exons: 3
Source: RefSeq, a predicted model, not a curated record
ACAACAUCAAGAAACUAUAGACAUUGAGGAGGCUCCUCCUGCCAAGCUAACUGUUGCUCAGCUUGCUGAAAGCUUUGUGAGCUCUUUAUUCUCUCACUUCCCUUCUCUGACGCACGCAUGGUAUGUUGUAGGAACAAUUGUAGGAGU